This 44-nucleotide non-coding RNA is filed under the name Trichobilharzia regenti. The record is from RNAcentral. Lineage: Eukaryota; Metazoa; Platyhelminthes; Trematoda; Strigeidida; Schistosomatidae.
AGUAGCUGACGAGUCCCAAAUAGGACGAAAUACACAUUCUGAAU